GAAAUCUAUGUGAAUAUUCAAGGCCUGCUAAGCCCUAGAAUUUGUGGUUUAACUCCAUGAAGAUUUCG
RNAcentral lists this transfer RNA (68 nucleotides) under Synallactes sp. Y30071. RNAcentral's name for it is "tRNA-Ser". Lineage: Eukaryota; Metazoa; Echinodermata; Holothuroidea; Aspidochirotida; Synallactidae. The record is from RNAcentral.